GCGAACGGGAUUAGAUACCCUGGUAGUCCACGCUGUAAACGAUGUCGAUUUGGAGGUUGUGCCCUUGAGGCGUGGCUUCCGGAGCUAACGCGUUAAAUCGACCGCCUGGGGAGUACGGCCGCAAGGUUAAAACUCAAAUGAAUUGACGGGGGCCCGCACAAGCGGUGGAGCAUGUGGUUUAAUUCGAUGCAACGCGAAGAACCUUACCUACUCUUGACAUCCAGAGAACUUUCCAGAGAUGGAUUGGUGCCUUCGGGAACUCUGAGACAGGUGCUGCAUGGCUGUCGUCAGCUCGUGUUGUGAAAUGUUGGGUUAAGUCCCGCAACGAGCGCAACCCUUAUCCUUUGUUGCCAGCGGUUCGGCCGGGAACUCAAAGGAGACUGCCAGUGAUAAACUGGAGGAAGGUGGGGAUGACGUCAAGUCAUCAUGGCCCUUACGAGUAGGGCUACACACGUGCUACAAUGGCAUAUACAAAGAGAAGCGACCUCGCGAGAGCAAGCGGACCUCAUAAAGUAUGUCGUAGUCCGGAUUGGAGUCUGCAACUCGACUCCAUGAAGUCGGAAUCGCUGGUAAUCGUAGAUCAGAAUGCUACGGUGAAUACGUUCCCGGGCCUUGUACACACCGCCCGUCACACCAUGGGAGUGGGUUGCAAAAGAAGUAGGUAGCUUAACCUUCGGGAGGGCGCUUACCACUUUGUGAUUCAUGACUGGG
RNAcentral lists this ribosomal RNA (711 nucleotides) under uncultured Serratia sp. Its description in RNAcentral is "bacterial SSU rRNA". It matches the Rfam family "Bacterial small subunit ribosomal RNA", at positions 768 to 1479 of the family's 1533-position model. The record is from RNAcentral. Lineage: Bacteria; Pseudomonadati; Pseudomonadota; Gammaproteobacteria; Enterobacterales; Yersiniaceae.